RNAcentral lists this ribosomal RNA (326 nucleotides) under uncultured soil bacterium. Its description in RNAcentral is "bacterial SSU rRNA". It matches the Rfam family "Bacterial small subunit ribosomal RNA", at positions 26 to 381 of the family's 1533-position model. The record is from RNAcentral.
AGAACGAACGCUGGCGGCAUGCCUAAUACAUGCAAGUCGAACGAACACUUCGGUGUUAGUGGCGCACGGGUGCGUAACGCGUGGGAAUCUGCCCUUGGGUUCGGAAUAACAGUUGGAAACGACUGCUAAUACCGGAUGAUAUCGAAAGAUCAAAGAUUUAUCGCCCAGGGAUGAGCCCGCGUAGGAUUAGCUAGUUGGUGAGGUAAAGGCUCACCAAGGCGACGAUCCUUAGCUGGUCUGAGAGGAUGAUCAGCCACACUGGGACUGAGACACGGCCCAGACUCCUACGGGAGCAGCAGUAGGGAAUAUUGGACAAUGGGCGCAAG